CCUACGGGAGGCUGCAGUGGGGAAUAUUGGACAAUGGGGGCAACCCUGAUCCAGCCAUGCCGCGUGUGUGAAGAAGGCCCUCGGGUUGUAAAGCACUUUCAGUGAGGAAGAACGCCUGGUGGUUAAUACCCAUCAGGAAAGACAUCACUCACAGAAGAAGCACCGGCUAACUCCGUGCCAGCAGCCGCGGUAAUACGGAGGGUGCGAGCGUUAAUCGGAAUUACUGGGCGUAAAGCGCGCGUAGGUGGCUUGAUAAGCCGGUUGUGAAAGCCCCGGGCUCAACCUGGGAACGGCAUCCGGAACUGUCAAGCUAGAGUGCAGGAGAGGAAGGUAGAAUUCCCGGUGUAGCGGUGAAAUGCGUAGAGACCGGGAGGAAUACCAGUGGCGAAGGCGGCCUUCUGGACUGACACUGACACUGAGGUGCGAAAGCGUGGGUAGCAAACAGGAUUAGAUACCCUGGUAGUC
RNAcentral lists this ribosomal RNA (465 nucleotides) under Vreelandella stevensii. RNAcentral describes it as "partial 16S ribosomal RNA". It matches the Rfam family "Bacterial small subunit ribosomal RNA", at positions 338 to 795 of the family's 1533-position model. The record is from RNAcentral. Lineage: Bacteria; Pseudomonadati; Pseudomonadota; Gammaproteobacteria; Oceanospirillales; Halomonadaceae.